GCGCGUGCUUACACAUGCAAGUCGAACGGAAAGGCCCGCUUGCGGGUACUCGAGUGGCGAACGGGUGAGUAACACGUGCGUGAUCUGCCCUGGACUCUGGGAUAAGCCUGGGAAACCGGGUCUAAUACCGGAUAUGACCUUACAUCGCAUGGUGUUUGGUGGAAAGCUUUUGCGGUUCAGGAUGGGCCCGCGGCCUAUCAGCUUGUUGGUGGGGUAAUGGCCUACCAAGGCGACGACGGGUAGCCGACCUGAGAGGGUGAUCGGCCACACUGGGACUGAGACACGGCCCAGACUCCUACGGGAGGCAGCAGUGGGGAAUAUUGCACAAUGGGCGCAAGCCUGAUGCAGCGACGCCGCGUGAGGGAUGACGGCCUUCGGGUUGUAAACCUCUUUCACCAGGGACGAAGCGCAAGUGACGGUACCUGGAGAACAAGCACCGGCCAACUACGUGCCCACAGCCGCGGUAAUACGUAGGGUGGGAGCGUCGUCCGGAAUUACUGGGCGUUAAAAGCUC
This 514-nucleotide ribosomal RNA is filed under the name Gordonia sp. F5.25.8. Its description in RNAcentral is "bacterial SSU rRNA". It matches the Rfam family "Bacterial small subunit ribosomal RNA", at positions 42 to 570 of the family's 1533-position model. The record is from RNAcentral. Lineage: Bacteria; Bacillati; Actinomycetota; Actinomycetes; Mycobacteriales; Gordoniaceae.